RNAcentral lists this ribosomal RNA (431 nucleotides) under uncultured bacterium. Its description in RNAcentral is "partial 16S ribosomal RNA". It matches the Rfam family "Bacterial small subunit ribosomal RNA", at positions 29 to 507 of the family's 1533-position model. The record is from RNAcentral.
AACGAACGCUGGCGGCAGGCUUAACACAUGCAAGUCGAGCGCCCCGCAAGGGGAGCGGCAGACGGGUGAGUAACGCGGGGGGACGUACCUUUUGGUUCGGAACAACUCCGGGAAACUGGAGCUACUACCGGAUAAGCCCUCACGGGGAAAGAUUUAUAUCCGAUAGAUCGGCCCGCGUCUGAUUAGCUAGUUGGUGAGGUAACGGCGAACCAAGGCGACGAUCAGUAGCUGGUCUGAGAGGAUGCUCACCCACACUGGGACGGAGACACGGGUCAGACUCCUACGGGAGGCAGCAGUGGGGAAUAUUGGCAAAGGGGCGUGAGUCUGAUCCAGCCACGCCUCGUGAGUGACUAAGGCUUUAGGGGUGUAAAGCUCUUUUGUCCGGGAAGAUAAUGACUGGACCGGAAGAAUAAGCCCCGGCUAAAUUCGUG